CAGGAAAUAGUUUAUUUAAAAUAUUAGUUUUGGAGACUAAUGAAGAAAAUUAUUUCUUUUCUGA
This 64-nucleotide transfer RNA is filed under the name Tenebrionoidea sp. 1 KM-2017. RNAcentral's name for it is "tRNA-Pro". Lineage: Eukaryota; Metazoa; Arthropoda; Insecta; Coleoptera. The record is from RNAcentral.